UACGUAGGGGGCUAGCGUUGUCCGGAAUCAUUGGGCGUAAAGAGCGUGUAGGCGGCCCGGUAAGUCCGCUGUAAAAGUCAAAGGCUCAACCUUUGAAUGUCAGUGGAUACUGCCGGGCUAGAGUCCGGAAGAGGCGAGUGGAACUCCUGGUGUAGCGGUGGAAUGCGCAGAUAUCAGGAAGAACACCAACGGCGAAGGCAGCUCGCUGAGACGGUACUGACGCUGAGACGCGAAAGCGUGGGGAGCGAACAGG
RNAcentral lists this ribosomal RNA (253 nucleotides) under uncultured bacterium. RNAcentral's name for it is "partial 16S ribosomal RNA". It matches the Rfam family "Bacterial small subunit ribosomal RNA", at positions 524 to 776 of the family's 1533-position model. The record is from RNAcentral.